CCUACGAGGCGCAGCAGUGGUGAAUAUUGCGCAAUGGGCGGAAGCCUGACGCAGCGACGCCGCGUGAGGGAUGAAGGUCUUCGGAUCGUAAACCUCUGUCAGCAGGGAAGAACGGUCACUGUGCUAAUCAGCAGUUAAUUGACGGUACCUGCAAAGGAAGCACCGGCUAACUCCGUGCCAGCAGCCGCGGUAAUCCGGAGGGUGCGAGCGUUACUUGGCAUUACUUGGCGUAAAGCGCUCGUAGGCGGUAUGUCAAGUCAAGGGUGAAAUCCCCGCGCUCAACGUGGGAACUGCCUUUGAAACUGGCAAACUGGAGUGUGUGAGAGGAUAGUGGAAUGCCAGGUGUAGGAGUGAAAUCCGUAGAUAUCUGGAGGAACAUCAGUGGCGAAGGCGACUAUCUGGCACAUAACUGACGCUGAGGAGCGAAAGCGUGGGUAGCAAACAGGAUUAGAUACCCUUGUAGUC
This 465-nucleotide ribosomal RNA is filed under the name uncultured bacterium. RNAcentral's name for it is "partial 16S ribosomal RNA". It matches the Rfam family "Bacterial small subunit ribosomal RNA", at positions 338 to 795 of the family's 1533-position model. The record is from RNAcentral.